GUGCUUUGACGGCACAUAUCCUAAAAUUUGAAUGAUAUACAGGAUUAGCAUGGCUUCUGUGCAAAGAUGAAGUGUAAAUUGAUGAAGAAAUGCCUAAGAAA
Molecule: small nuclear RNA, 101 nt
Organism: Sarcophilus harrisii (Tasmanian devil)
Lineage: Eukaryota; Metazoa; Chordata; Mammalia; Dasyuromorphia; Dasyuridae
Source: Ensembl